This 349-nucleotide ribosomal RNA is filed under the name uncultured Pseudomonadota bacterium. Its description in RNAcentral is "bacterial SSU rRNA". It matches the Rfam family "Bacterial small subunit ribosomal RNA", at positions 30 to 388 of the family's 1533-position model. The record is from RNAcentral. Lineage: Bacteria; Pseudomonadati; Pseudomonadota.
AUUGAACGCUGGCGGAAUGCUUUACACAUGCAAGUCGAACGGCAGCACGGGGCAACCUGGUGGCGAGUGGCGAACGGGUGAGUAAUAUAUCGGAACGUGCCCAAUCGUGGGGGAUAACGUAGCGAAAGUUACGCUAAUACCGCAUACGAUCUACGGAUGAAAGCGGGGGAUCGCAAGACCUCGCGCGAAUGGAGCGGCCGAUAUCAGAUUAGGUAGUUGGUGGGGUAAAGGCUCACCAAGCCAACGAUCUGUAGCUGGUCUGAGAGGACGACCAGCCACACUGGAACUGAGACACGGUCCAGACUCCUACGGGUGGCAGCCUGAGACUCCAAGGCACACAGGGGAUAGG